RNAcentral lists this ribosomal RNA (2204 nucleotides) under Triticum aestivum (bread wheat). Its description in RNAcentral is "partial small subunit ribosomal RNA". Lineage: Eukaryota; Viridiplantae; Streptophyta; Magnoliopsida; Poales; Poaceae. The record is from RNAcentral.
GCCUACCCGGCCACGACGAGGACCAGGGAAAGCAGUCACCGUGACCGACGUGCAGAGUAACGCCAGCCCUAAGCGGCUAGGGUGACGGGCUCGCGGCGCGAGCAGGACACAUUGCACGUUUUCCCAGUUUUGGCACCGGCGGCGCGGUUGGGAAGAGCAGUCCGGGCGCGGGGGAGGCGGAGCAGAGGAGGGACGAGGGAGGAGAGGGUGCAGCGGCGGGAGCUCGGGGGAGGUGGAGCAGAGGAGGGACGAGGGAGGAGAGGUUGCGGCGACGGGAGCUACGCGGCAGUCCCUACGGUAGUCGGGCUCGGAUCCUCUUCUGGUGAGGAUUAGAAUGAGCGGCGGCAACUAACCUAGCUCUCGCGGGUGUACCGGAGCGGUGGCGACGGCGGACCUAAACGAUCGGCGGCGUACCUCAGUGGGACCGGCGGCCCACCUCAGCGGGACCGGCGGCGGCUCUCAGUCGAGGUGGUAAUGGGGGUCCUUAGGUCAGGGCCGUUCCAUUGAAGGAAGCUUAGGGACGAGAGGGACCAGGAGGACGGGACGAACGACGUACACACAACACACGCAAACCGGUGAGGAGCUCGUUCGAGUUCAGGCAGCUGAAAAUGUCCAUGGUAGAAGGAGGGAAGGCUAGAAGUCUAGAGGUAUAGACCACUGACGCCACAAAACUAAAGCAACCUAAUGAUAGACAUAAACCCCUAAUCGAUACUUAACUACAAAAAUGAAACUCGUACCUAUCAGCCGUCAUGACUAAAUCCAGAAAAACAUCUUGUCUUACUAAUCGAGCAGAUAAAGACCUCUUGACGUGAUAUCUACUAUAUAAAUACUUGCUAGAAUUGUGACUUUUACGUUUUUAAUGCCAUACCAGAUUACUAUCAGCCACCCACACUGAAAAAACGACCGUAACAGGUCACGUCAAAAACCUAAAGAUGACUCAACAUGUCACAAAACUCUAAACAAAAACACAAUACGGUAGACGUCCUUUUAAGGGUCCCUAAACUAACUGCCUCCGUAGUGAUAAACUGCAACCUAAUAGGUAAAAACGUUGUGAUCGUUACAACAAAAACAAACCUUACCGGUCAAGAGUUAAAGAUAAGACAAUAGUUGCUAUGACAUGAAGAACAGUCCAAUGUAAUAGAAUGAACCAAAGUCAGAUAUACAUCGUGUUUUUAUCCAUUGUACCAAUAAAAGUACGAGCUAAACCAAACAUCCAAUGUGAUUCCUUGUGGUAGUAUUCCUUUUCCCGUAACGUGACGUAACAAAUAUUAACCGGACAAUGAUAAGCCAGACGACAUCACGAAUUAACGAUGUGGUGAAGUUCAAUACAUCAGAUUUUAUUGGGAAAGUUUACUUGAAAAAAUUAACUAUAAGUCUCGUAGUUGUACCACCUGAUCUAAUACUUUAGUUGAUACUAGUACUCUUGAACUUCGAUAAACAACUGAUUUAACAGUUAACAAAACGCACUUAACUUUGACCGUCACACUACUGUAAUGACAUCUACGAAACGAUAUAUGUAAACGGAUUAGGAUAGAGAGAGAGAUUAUACGAGAGAAAACACUUCUAGGAAACGUCUAGUUAACCACUCCGUCUUACGAUUCGUAGCAAAGUGUAAGUCCAAACGAUAGUUUGAGAGUUUUUCCUUUUUGUUGAAAUGAGACAAAAAACCUCUUGGAAGGACAUCUCAUGGAACUGUCUCUGUUUAUACGCCAGUUCCUAUAUAAGCUACCUAAAAGUGCGUUUUAAACCUCCUAUAAAAACGUCUAUCAAACCACGAGAGUACCAAUAAAACAUGACUAAAAGGAAGACAAGUAAUGAACCAUUGGUAGAUGCCGUCGAGUCGAUAACAGGUCGACGACUGGAACCAGUUCUCGGUACUUAUCCUCGUUCCGUAGUGUGAGGUCGAGACUCUUCUUUUCCUAUACUUCUGUUUCUAUAGUCACAAGACGAGGCUUUGUUUUUGUAAAACGCACAUUAUUACUGGACAUUAAAUGGUGUUAGAGAUUUUGUCCGGAUGGAUGAACGAAAACAUAAUCCUUCAUACUGAGUCAGUAUAUAUAAAUGUAAGUGCAACAAAUCAAUACCAAACAUACGUACUUUUAUGGCAAAAUUUACUCGGACUUUUAAGAAUAAAAGUCACUUUAACAUAGAUGGUGAAACAUUUCUUGCUUACUUUGUGUAAAGUUUAUUGAGAAAUAAGAUUU